GUACACGCUGUGACUAGCAUAUCAAUAAGCGGAGGAAAAGAAACUAACAAGGAUUCCCCUAGUAACGGCGAGUGAAGCGGGAAGAGCUCAAAUUUGAAAUCUUAAAGGGUUUCCCUUUACGAAUUGUAGUUUAAAGAAGUGUUUUCUGUUGAGGUUUUGGUAAAAGUUCUUUGGAAUAGGACAUCAUAGAGGGUGAGAAUCCCGUAUUUGACCUUUACUUUCAACUUUGUGAUACACUUUCAAAGAGUCGGAUUGUUUGGGAAUGCAGUCCAAAAUGGGUGGUAAAUUUCAUCUAAAGCUAAAUAUUGGCGAGAGACCGAUAGCGAACAAGUACCGUGAGGGAAAGAUGAAAAGAACUUUGAAAAGAGAGUUAAACAGUACGUGAAAUUGUCAAAAGGGAAGCGUUUGACACCAGUGUUGUUUUUCUGAAAAUCAAUUAAAGAACUGUUUAUGCUAAGCUGUUUAGACUUUAUCAGCUAACUGUUUAGUUUUGAGCUUUUCUUUAAUGCACUUUUCAGUUAACAAGUCAACAUCAAUUUCUUUUGCUGUAAAAAAGCUUGAGGAAGGUGGCUUGAGAUUCGUCAUAAGUGUUUAUAGCCUCUUGCCUAUGCAGUCGGAGAGAUUGAGGUCUGCAGCGUAGAUCCUUCGGGGCUAAAUGCAUUUGUGCUAAGUUAUAGCAUUUUAUAGACAACUUGUUGACUAUGAUUUGUCUUGUAGCUUACUCGCUUAUGUUAUUUUACCUACGCUUAGGAUGUUGAGUCGUAGAGCACGCAG
RNAcentral lists this ribosomal RNA (774 nucleotides) under uncultured Neocallimastigales. Its description in RNAcentral is "partial large subunit ribosomal RNA". It matches the Rfam family "Eukaryotic large subunit ribosomal RNA", at positions 22 to 628 of the family's 3401-position model. Lineage: Eukaryota; Fungi; Neocallimastigomycota; Neocallimastigomycetes; Neocallimastigales. The record is from RNAcentral.